Molecule: microRNA precursor, 201 nt
Filed under: Oryza glumipatula
Lineage: Eukaryota; Viridiplantae; Streptophyta; Magnoliopsida; Poales; Poaceae
Description: MIR812 microRNA precursor family
Rfam family: MIR812 microRNA precursor family
Source: Rfam by way of RNAcentral
UAUAAGGGAUUUUGAAUUUUUGCUUGUAACGUUUGACCACUCGUCUUAUUCAAAAAAUUUUGAAAUUAUUAUUAUUUUAUUUGUGACUUACAUUAUUAUCUACAAUACUUUAAGCACAACUUUUCGUUUUUUAUAUUUGAAAAAAAAUUGAAUAAGACGAGUGGUCAAACGUCACAAGCAAAAACUCAAAAUCCCCUUAUA